UUCAAUUGUUGAUUAAUCUAAAAUUUAUUUCUAAUUUAAUUUGAUCGUUUUAAUCCUUAUAUUUAUUUUCUUUAAACAGUUAAUUGUUUCAUGUUCUUCUCUAGUUAAUGAUUGAUUCUACUGAGCUAAUGAAAAAAUUAAACUAAUGACCAUUUGGUUGAUUAACUCUUGUUUUCUGGACAAUCAGUGUUUCCCCAAAUACGUUUCUGUCUAUUAACUUGAUUGUUAUUAACCCUUAUCAUCUUUAAUUGAUUAAUCCUGAUGAACGAGAUGAAGAAGAUGAUUAUCUAAAUGAUAAGAUUAAAAGAAUAUGGACCAUGAGUGACAAUUAAUCGGUUAAUUAACAUUAAUUGUUCCACUGGAGUAGAAAUGAUUUAACAACAAUUUACUGAUUAUUAAAACCAACUGAUGAUGAAUAAAGAGGAGGAAAAAAAACUGUAGGUGUUUUCAUUUUGUGGAGAGAAACAUUUUCCUCAUAAACAUUAAUACAAACUAGUUAACGAGUUAUUAUUAUUAUCGUUGUUGAUUCAAUACAUUUCAUUGAUGGAGAAAGAAACAAAAAGUAAAUUAUGAUUGAUUGUGUUUGAUUAAUGAUGGAUAUUCAUGUAUGUAUAUCUAAAAGCAGUUACACAUCAAUGUAAUUCUUAAUUGUUGAAACCCAAUUCUAACAACACCAAAAACAAGUAAACCCUACAUUAGUUAAGAUAAUAUCAUUAACUAUAUGGAUACCUAACAUUAAAUGUCGUGUUCAAAUUGUCCACAAUCACCCAAGGGAAAUUGAUUACAAUCAACUUACUUUCGUUACAAGGAGAGUUACAUAAUAAUAUGUUUAUCUAUCAAUGGAUUUACUAUUUAUAUAAUUGUUGGUCAAUGGAUGAGAAAGAUUAAUUGUUGACUUGAUACAAUUAAUUAACUACCUUGUAAAUGCAACUAAUCAAAAUUUCCAAUGAGAAAACUGAAUCAGUUUCAUUGAUUUCGUUAGUUUAGUUUCUCUCUCUCUCUCUGAAUUUAAUUCUGAGUUGUGAGUAUUCAAGUUAAUGGAUAUGUUUAUACAUAUAUUUUGAUUUACAAGUGAAUAUAUUAAUUCUGGAUUGUUUAUCUUCAUCUUUCUGUCUAUUUAAUGGUCAUGGUACAUUGGAAGAUACCGGAUGUUGUUAUUGAGCAUUUAGUGGAUUUUUAAACAUGGUAACAUCAAUUUCCUGUCAUCAUUAAGUAAUAAUCACUAUCAAGGUGGGAUUUAUGUAAGAAACGAUUGAAACAUGAAGAUUGUAAUGGAAUCCAUAUAAUCAAGUUAAUCAUCUUUUCAAGUUAUUAUCAUCAUUAUUUGUUAUUAUUACAAUAAGUUAAAUAAGAAUCGAUCAGAUUGACCUACUCAAUCUCACUCACUUAUCCAAUGGAGUCGAUUGAUGAUGAUAAUCUAAUAUUAAAAAGGAUCGAAAAUGUAAAAGAAAAACAAAAUUGAAGACAACAAGCAAACAGGAAGAAACUUUAAUAGGACUAUGUUACCCUAAUCCAUUUGUAUCAUCAUCAUCUUCAUCAUCACCAUCAUCAUUAUCACGAGAAUGAGAAACUAAAAUCAAGUAAAAGCAUUGGAAAAGAAUCAAAGAAACCGUUAUAAUGGUUAACCUGCAUCCGAAUCAAGAAUCGUAAUGUACAGAAAGAGAGACAAGAAAAAUGUUCCAUAAAAUGUCAAAGAAAAAAAGUCGAAAUGAUGAUGAUCAUCAUAAGCAUCAUCAAUGAUCAUCUAUGGGAAAAAAUUGUCUUAAAAGUAAACAAUUGAUCGUGGUGACCAGUUAUCUCUCUCUCUCUCAUUCACUUUCCGUUGUUAUUAAAUUGCUCCAAGGGUAAAACUGAUAUAUUAUGUUGAAACCUGUCAAAUCAAAUCAUCUGAUUUAUAUUAUGUUAUACAUCACAUAAUUUACAAAGAAUCAAAGGAAAAGAGGAGGAAAAUCAAAUCAAAAUCAGAUGAAAAGCUAAGGAUGUUGGUUGUGGGUGGAUGGUUAUGGUGAUGAUGAUGAUAAUCCAUUAAUACAAUCAACUGAUGAAGAUGAUAUGUCCAACCUGAUCUUUUAUAUUCAUCAAACUAUCAAAUGGAUUUUCGUGCCUGUACAUUACCGAUGAUCAUCAUCAGGAUCAUAACUCUUGCCCAAUCAUUAUUAUUGUUACAAUUUACAGGGAAUAGUUAAUUGGCAAAAUUGAAGUAAAAAGAUGAAUCAAAGUAACAUCACAUUUUCCUGUUCUCUCUCCCUGAUUAUUGGAUCAACAAUCAACAAUCAAAUCACGCAACAGAUUUUACUUUGCAUAUGAUGAUAAUGAUGAUGGAGAUGAGGAUGAAAAAUGAUACUUAUCAUCAUGGAGAAAAAAAAGUUAUUAACAAGUUUCUCUCUCUCUCUCCCUCUCUCAUUUAAUGUAUUAAUAUCAAAGGAGGAGCAAAGUGAUAAUGAUGAUGAUGAUUAAGAGCAAGGAGGAGGAUAAAUUAACAACAAAAAAAAACGUUGAAUUGAUGAUAACUGCUCAAUGUAAAUUUACUUAAUACAUUAAUUUAGUGUAUUAAUAUUUACUUAACUAUAAUUAUCAUGAUCAAUAGUAACUUAUACUGAUGAAGGAUAAUGAUGAUAAUCGUUGUAUCAUCAAUUUUGUUGAUUCCUGUUAAUCAACAAAACUUAUAUUCACCUUAUCAAGGUAACAUUUUAAUGAUUCAAUUAAUGUCUAUCCAAACCCUUGAACCCUUUUUCUUACCUUAACUGUUACCAUUGUGAAAGUUAUUAUUUACUCACCAGAAUUAAAUUAUCUUGUUAACAAUUUAAAUGAUCCACCAUUAUAACAAGAAUCAACCUGGAAAAUCAACAAUCUAUUAAUUUUCUGGCAAAAAAAUCGGAAAAAAUGUUAACUUGACAAUAUCAAGUAUCGAUAACAAUAUAUUACCCCGGAGGCGAUUAAUUUUGUUAUCCUUUUAUUGUUUAUCUUAUUAUUUACUUGGACUGUGAUUCCUGAUAAAUAAAACAUAUUCAUCAUGAUCCAAGUUACAGGAUUUAUCUCCACAGAUCGUCACAUUGCAGGGAAAAAGAUGAUGAUGAGGAUAACUUAUCAUUCUCAUCAUCAUCUACAUUAACUAAAUAGUAACAAGUAUAUUUGAUUUACUUUUUUGAUACCAAAAUGAAAGACAAUCUUGUAUUACAAUCAGUGUGAUUGUUGAAUAAUGUUUUAUAUCAUUGAAGAAGUAAAAACAAAGAUAAAAACAACAAGUUGAACAAGAAUUAUCAUCAUGAUGAUAAUCAUCAUGGAUUCUGAAUGAAAAUCAACAGUAAAUCAUCAUCAUCAUCAUCAACAACAACAACAAACUGGGGACAAGUAACAUUAUCGCCUGCGGCUACUUGAUAGGCCAAAUCUAAAUGCAAAAGGAUGAUAAAGGAAGAUGAUGAUGAAGAUGAUAAAAUGUCUCUGAUAUAUUUAUAUGGAUUCCUCAUAAUUUUACUCCCUUUUUAAAUGAUUAAAGUGCCUGGGGCGAUGAUGAUACAUGUACUUUUUGUUAAAUGGUAAAUGCAACUACUAUCAACAUGACAGAGUAAAUAUAAUGUCAACAAAGAUGUUGAUUGUGAUACAUUUUCUGAUGAGUAAACAAAAUGCGAUUUCAUUUGAAUAGAAAUCAAAUCAUCUGAAUGAUUAUCAUCAUCAUUUGUUGUCAAAAAAACAACAUUAAACUCAUUGAAUGAUAAUGGAAACAUCAUCAUGUUCAUGAUCACCAUGAUAUUAUCAUGAAAAAUUGUUGAAUCUCAUGAGGAAUGAAAAUUUGGAAACAAUCAACUUUGUUUUUCCUUUCCAUCCAAAGUGAUAAUAAACAAAUGAUAACAUCAACUUAUCUUGAUUAUUAUGUUGAUCGUUUUGGAUAAAUCAACAAUAACAAUCAAGGAAUAAAAUUAAUUUAAUAACAAUGAAAACCACUGAGAAAAGAUGAAAAAAAUUGUACAAAUAAAAUCAUCACCAACUGAG
Panonychus citri (citrus red mite) is the source of this 3990-nucleotide long non-coding RNA. RefSeq lists it as uncharacterized. The record is from RefSeq and is a predicted model, not a curated record. The transcript is spliced from 6 exons. Lineage: Eukaryota; Metazoa; Arthropoda; Arachnida; Trombidiformes; Tetranychidae.